RNAcentral lists this ribosomal RNA (478 nucleotides) under uncultured bacterium. RNAcentral's name for it is "partial 16S ribosomal RNA". It matches the Rfam family "Bacterial small subunit ribosomal RNA", at positions 28 to 523 of the family's 1533-position model. The record is from RNAcentral.
GAUGAACGCUGGCGGCGUGCUUAACACAUGCAAGUCGAGCGAUGAAAUUCCUUCGGGGAUGGAUUAGCGGCGGACGGGUGAGUAACACGUGGGUAACCUGCCUCAUAGAGGGGAAUAGCCUUUCGAAAGGAAGAUUAAUACCGCAUAAGAUUGUAGUGCCGCAUGGUACAGCAAUUAAAGGAGUAAUCCGCUAUGAGAUGGACCCGCGUCGCAUUAGCUAGUUGGUGAGGUAACGGCUCACCAAGGCGACGAUGCGUAGCCGACCUGAGAGGGUGAGCGGCCACAUUGGGACUGAGACACGGCCCAGACUCCUACGGGAGACAGCAGUGGGGAAUAUUGCACAAUGGGGGAAACCCUGAUGCAGCAACGCCGCGUGAGUGAUGACGGUCUUCGGAUUGUAAAGCUCUGUCUCCAGGGACGAUAAUGACGGUACCUGAGGAGGAAGCCACGGCUAACUACGUGCCAGCCGCCGCCGUAA